GGUGGCUCAGUGGUAGAGGGCUUGCCUUGCAUGCAUGAAGCCCUGGGUUCGAUUCCCCAGCACCA
This 65-nucleotide transfer RNA is filed under the name Dipodomys ordii (Ord's kangaroo rat). It matches the Rfam family "tRNA". Rfam says of the family: Transfer RNA (tRNA) molecules are approximately 80 nucleotides in length. Their secondary structure includes four short double-helical elements and three loops (D, anti-codon, and T loops). Further hydrogen bonds mediate the characteristic L-shaped molecular structure. tRNAs have two regions of fundamental functional importance: the anti-codon, which is responsible for specific mRNA codon recognition, and the 3' end, to which the tRNAs corresponding amino acid is attached (by aminoacyl-tRNA synthetases). tRNAs cope with the degeneracy of the genetic code in two manners: having more than one tRNA (with a specific anti-codon) for a particular amino acid; and 'wobble' base-pairing, i.e. permitting non-standard base-pairing at the 3rd anti-codon position. The record is from Rfam by way of RNAcentral. Lineage: Eukaryota; Metazoa; Chordata; Mammalia; Rodentia; Heteromyidae.